GGAGGGGCAUAAGGAGUUCGGGGAGGCACAGGGUAGGAGCGGUGAGAGGGCCGUGGAGUCCCGCUCCUCUCCGCCGCGGUUGGCGGGAGCGUGUAGUGACGUCACACAGGGCCUCUCGAAGUGGGCUUGUGAAUGGCUAGAUUGGGAAGCACCGGAGGGGUGUCGGGAAGAGUGGUGACGCAACAUAGAGACUCCGCCCCCUUCCUUGGAGCGCUGCGACUCGGGCUGAGGGAGCUCGGGCCAAUCAGAGGGACGGCCCCAGAAUGGCAUGGUGAUGGAACGCAGCUGAGAGGUCUGACAAGAUGUACCAGGUCCCACUGCCACUGGAUCGGGAUGGGACCCUGGUACGGCUCCGCUUCACCAUGGUGGCCCUGGUCACGGUCUGCUGUCCACUUGUCGCCUUCCUCUUCUGCAUCCUCUGGUCCCUGCUCUUCCACUUCAAGGAGACAACGGCCACACACUGUGGGGCAGGUUCCAGUCUGCGGGGGAGAUGGAGAAGGUGCCACCAUGCUGCUGCACAAAUCCCAGGAUAGCUGGGGAAUGAGAAUCCAGCACUUUGGGCCUAGGACGUGGAAGGAGAGGUCUUUUGGGAGAGGUGCCCAAUUACCUGCCCUCGGUGAGCUCAGCCAUCGGCGGGGAGGUGCCCCAGCGCUACGUGUGGCGUUUCUGCAUCGGCCUGCACUCGGCGCCUCGCUUCUUGGUGGCCUUCGCCUACUGGAACCACUACCUCAGCUGCACCUCCCCGUGUUCCUGCUAUCGCCCGCUCUGCCGCCUCAACUUCGGCCUCAAUGUCGUGGAGAACCUCGCGUUGCUAGUGCUCACUUAUGUCUCCUCCUCCGAGGACUUCACCGUCCACGAAAAUGCUUUCAUUGUGUUCAUUGCCUCAUCCCUCGGGCACAUGCUCCUCACCUGCAUUCUCUGGCGGUUGACCAAGAAGCACACAGUAAGUCAGGAGUGGAAGCGGCAGGAAUACCACUGCUCCUCGGCCCAUCACUCCCCCAGAGGCAGGGACGUGAACACGUUCGUCAUUCUUGCUGCCCCUGCCUGUGCUCCCUUCCAUGACCGCUAGUGGGAGCCAAGGGAGAUAAGGCCCAGCCCUUAGGAGUUAGGGCUGAGAGGGGAGCCCAGGCUCUCAUACCCAGCAAGCUGCAGAGUGAUCAGACAGCCCAUUCCCUAGGAUCGCAAGUCCUACAGCUGGAAACAGCGGCUCUUCAUCAUCAACUUCAUCUCCUUCUUCUCGGCGCUGGCUGUCUACUUUCGGCACAACAUGUAUUGUGAGGCUGGAGUGUACACCAUCUUUGCCAUCCUGGAGUACACUGUUGUCUUAACCAACAUGGCGUUCCACAUGACGGCCUGGUGGGACUUCGGGAACAAGGAGCUGCUCAUAACCUCUCAGCCUGAGGAAAAGCGAUUCUGAACCCUUCAGUCCUGCUUGGGAGGACGCAGCCCACUGCCCAGAAACAAGAAACACGAUACCAUUCUGGCCUUCCCCACCCCACAUCCUCUCUUGGCCUUACUGAAGAUGGGGGAAGGGUAAGAAGGAAGGGUGUAGGCCAAGGCUCACCCCAGUGCUGCUGGCUUCUCCUCUCCACCCCUCAUAUGGGCGUGGGGUCCUCAAACAUCACCUUUACCUGAGAGGCCCCAAGAAGCUGAGCUGGCAGAGAGCUCCACCAUUUGGUGCUAAAAAAAAACGUCCUGAGGUUCAUGACCACCAUCCAGUUUCUGGCCUUUACACAGUCACCUUUCACUGAGGUCAGGAGCCCCUGAGCAGUGGCUGCUCCCUGACAACCACAGCCAUUUCUCUGCACGGGGGUCAUUCAUAGGACUAAUGUAUUUCAUGAUCUACUGUGCACAUCCAGGCCUGUGGCCACAGUCCCCUGCUAAAGUUGCUCAGGUGUUCUAGUCCUGACUUCACCUUUUUGAUUUGGUGUGUGCCCUAGGGUAUGUACCCUUCCCCAUCUGAGCCUCGGUGUGUCCAUGUGUCUGGUGGGGGAUGGGCGGACUGUAUGAUUUCCAAGGGCUCUGCCAGUCAGUGGUUCUGAUGUCAUCGGGUGGAGGUGGUGGUCUAUACCUGAAGGACGACCUGCUCCCGAAACAGCACCAGCACAGCAUGUAUUUUCUUCUCUUCUGAAAGUUCUGGCGUAUAGACCCCUCCCCUCCUUUGCAAAGGUAUGGGAUAGAGGAGUCAGAUGCAGAUCUCUACUGUAAAAUGGGCUCCCUGGUAUCUCCUGUCUUCCCUACUGCUCCAAACCCUAAAUUUUGGUUGUACAUUUUAUUUGAAAGGAAAAUAAAUUUUUUUUUUGGGCCAA
Molecule: RNA transcript, 2309 nt
Organism: Pan troglodytes (chimpanzee)
Lineage: Eukaryota; Metazoa; Chordata; Mammalia; Primates; Hominidae
Gene: PGAP2
Gene name: post-GPI attachment to proteins 2
Exons: 8
Source: RefSeq, a predicted model, not a curated record